Molecule: non-coding RNA, 25 nt
Filed under: Mus musculus (house mouse)
Lineage: Eukaryota; Metazoa; Chordata; Mammalia; Rodentia; Muridae
Also listed under: 1 other name
Source: RNAcentral
UGCAAACAUGGCUUCUCUCUUGGGC